This 497-nucleotide ribosomal RNA is filed under the name uncultured bacterium. RNAcentral's name for it is "partial 16S ribosomal RNA". It matches the Rfam family "Bacterial small subunit ribosomal RNA", at positions 28 to 507 of the family's 1533-position model. The record is from RNAcentral.
GAUGAACGCUGGCGGCGUGCCUAAUACAUGCAAGUCGAGCGAACAGACGAGGAGCUUGCUCCUCUGACGUUAGCGGCGGACGGGUGAGUAACACGUGGAUAACCUACCUAUAAGACUGGGAUAACUUCGGGAAACCGGAGCUAAUACCGGAUAACAUGUUGAACCGCAUGGUUCAACAGUGAAAGACGGUCUUGCUGUCACUUAUAGAUGGAUCCGCGCCGCAUUAGCUAGUUGGUAAGGUAACGGCUUACCAAGGCAACGAUGCGUAGCCGACCUGAGAGGGUGAUCGGCCACACUGGAACUGAGCCACGGUCCAGACUCCUACGGGAGGCAGCAGUAGGGAAUCUUCCGCAAAGGGCGAAAUCCUGACGGAGCAACGCCGCGUGAGUGAAGAAGGUCUUCGGAUCGUAAAACUCUGUUAUUAGGGAAGAACAAAUGUGUAAGUAACUAUGCACGUCUUGACGGUACCUAAUCAGAAAGCCACGGCUAACUACGUG